RNAcentral lists this ribosomal RNA (292 nucleotides) under uncultured bacterium. RNAcentral describes it as "partial 16S ribosomal RNA". It matches the Rfam family "Bacterial small subunit ribosomal RNA", at positions 505 to 796 of the family's 1533-position model. The record is from RNAcentral.
GUGUCAGCAGCCGCGGUAAUACGAAGGGGGCUAGCGUUGCUCGGAAUUACUGGGCGUAAAGGGAGCGUAGGCGGACAUUUAAGUCAGAGGUGAAAUCCCGGAGCUUAACUUCGGAACUGCCUUUGAUACUGGGUGUCUUGAGUGUGAGAGAGGUAUGUGGAACUCCGAGUGUAGAGGUGAAAUUCGUAGAUAUUCGGAAGAACACCAGUGGCGAAGGCGACAUACUGGCUCAUUACUGACGCUGAGGCUCGAAAGCGUGGGGAGCAAACAGGAUUAGAUACCCCCGUAGUCC